UGCAGAAUCCCGUGAACCAUCGAGUCUUUGAACGCAAGUUGCGCCCGAAGCCAUUAGGUUGAGGGCAUGCCUGCCUGGGUGUCACAC
RNAcentral lists this ribosomal RNA (87 nucleotides) under Campylotropis muehleana. Its description in RNAcentral is "partial 5.8S ribosomal RNA". It matches the Rfam family "5.8S ribosomal RNA", at positions 73 to 154 of the family's 154-position model. From Rfam's summary of the family: 5.8S ribosomal RNA (5.8S rRNA) is a component of the large subunit of the eukaryotic ribosome. It is transcribed by RNA polymerase I as part of the 45S precursor that also contains 18S and 28S rRNA. Lineage: Eukaryota; Viridiplantae; Streptophyta; Magnoliopsida; Fabales; Fabaceae. The record is from RNAcentral.